UACAGAGGGGGCAAGCGUUGUUCGGAAUUACUGGGCGUAAAGGGCGCGUAGGCGGCCCGCUAAGUCGAACGUGAAAUCCCCAGGCUCAACCUGGGAACUGCGUCCGAUACUGGCAGGCUUGAAUCCGGGAGAGGGAUGUGGAAUUCCAGGUGUAGCGGUGAAAUGCGUAGAUAUCGGGAGGAACACCAGUGGCGAAGGCGACUACCUGGCCUGUUCUUGACGCUGAGGCGCGAAAGCUAGGGGAGCAAACGGG
Molecule: ribosomal RNA, 253 nt
Filed under: uncultured bacterium
Lineage: Bacteria
Description: partial 16S ribosomal RNA
Rfam family: Bacterial small subunit ribosomal RNA
Source: RNAcentral